This 359-nucleotide long non-coding RNA is filed under the name Corvus moneduloides (New Caledonian crow). RNAcentral describes it as "lncRNA (ENSCMUG00000017700.1)". Lineage: Eukaryota; Metazoa; Chordata; Aves; Passeriformes; Corvidae. The record is from RNAcentral.
AUCCUAUACCAUAAACUGCACAAAUCCAGGCUUGGAAUGAGAGCCCCCAUCCCGAAACCAGUACUAGGAUGUGAUUAAAAAAAAUAUUCUGCCUUCAAGAGCUGCCACCAUGCUUCUAUCAAAGAAAUAAGCAAAGGGGGACUGAGAACAACAGCAAGGAUGACACGUGAUUCAAGGGACAGCCUGUCAGCAGAGCAGACCUGCAGUCUGAGGGGUUCCUGUGCCGAGGGCUGUGUGUAAGGCGCUCAGUGCACGUGGCACCCAGAGACCGGACAAAGAAAGCCGCUUGUGCCACCGCAGCAGCCGUGCUGAGCCCUUCUGCGCUGCCAGUGAGUGACAACGCCACAGGAGAAGCCUGA